This 253-nucleotide ribosomal RNA is filed under the name uncultured bacterium. Its description in RNAcentral is "partial 16S ribosomal RNA". It matches the Rfam family "Bacterial small subunit ribosomal RNA", at positions 524 to 776 of the family's 1533-position model. The record is from RNAcentral.
GACGGAGGGGGCUAGCGUUGUUCGGAAUGACUGGGCGUAAAGAGCGCGUAGGCGGUUUAUUAAGUGAGGCGUGAAAGCCCUGGGCUUAACCUAGGAGGUGCGCUUCAUACUGGUAAGCUAGAGUACGAGAGAGGAAAGCGGAAUUCCUAGUGUAGAGGUGAAAUUCGUAGAUAUUAGGAAGAACACCAGUGGCGAAGGCGGCUUUCUGGCUCGUAACUGACGCUGAGGCGCGAAAGCGUGGGGAGCAAACAGG